GAUGAACGCUGGCGGCGUGCCUAAUACAUGCAAGUCGAGCGAACGGACGAGAAGCUUGCUUCUCUGAUGUUAGCGGCGGACGGGUGAGUAACACGUGGAUAACCUACCUAUAAGACUGGGAUAACUUCGGGAAACCGGAGCUAAUACCGGAUAAUAUUUUGAACCGCAUGGUUCAAAAGUGAAAGACGGUCUUGCUGUCACUUAUAGAUGGAUCCGCGCUGCAUUAGCUAGUUGGUAAGGUAACGGCUUACCAAGGCAACGAUGCAUAGCCGACCUGAGAGGGUGAUCGGCCACACUGGAACUGAGACACGGUCCAGACUCCUACGGGAGGCAGCAGUAGGGAAUCUUCCGCAAUGGGCGAAAGCCUGACGGAGCAACGCCGCGUGAGUGAUGAAGGUCUUCGGAUCGUAAAACUCUGUUAUUAGGGAAGAACAUAUGUGUAAGUAACUGUGCACAUCUUGACGGUACCUAAUCAGAAAGCCACGGCUAACUACGUGCCAGCAGCCGCGGUAAUACGUAGGUGGCAAGCGUUAUCCGGAAUUAUUGGGCGUAAAGCGCGCGUAGGCGGUUUUUUAAGUCUGAUGUGAAAGCCCACGGCUCAAUCGUGGAGGGUCAUUGGAAACUGGAAAACUUGAGUGCAGAAGAGGAAAGUGGAAUUCCAUGUGUAGCGGUGAAAUGCGCAGAGAUAUGGAGGAACACCAGUGGCGAAGGCGACUUUCUGGUCUGUAACUGACGCUGAUGUGCGAAAGCGUGGGGAUCAAACAGGAUUAGAUACCCUGGUAGUCCACGCCGUAAACGAUGAGUGCUAAGUGUUAGGGGGUUUCCGCCCCUUAGUGCUGCAGCUAACGCAUUAAGCACUCCGCCUGGGGAGUACGACCGCAAGGUUGAAACUCAAAGGAAUUGACGGGGACCCGCACAAGCGGUGGAGCAUGUGGUUUAAUUCGAAGCAACGCGAAGAACCUUACCAAAUCUUGACAUCCUUUGACAACUCUAGAGAUAGAGCCUUCCCCUUCGGGGGACAAAGUGACAGGUGGUGCAUGGUUGUCGUCAGCUCGUGUCGUGAGAUGUUGGGUUAAGUCCCGCAACGAGCGCAACCCUUAAGCUUAGUUGCCAUCAUUAAGUUGGGCACUCUAAGUUGACUGCCGGUGACAAACCGGAGGAAGGUGGGGAUGACGUCAAAUCAUCAUGCCCCUUAUGAUUUGGGCUACACACGUGCUACAAUGGACAAUACAAAGGGCAGCGAAACCGCGAGGUCAAGCAAAUCCCAUAAAGUUGUUCUCAGUUCGGAUUGUAGUCUGCAACUCGACUACAUGAAGCUGGAAUCGCUAGUAAUCGUAGAUCGAGCGUGCCUACCGUUGAAUACGUUCCCGGG
Molecule: ribosomal RNA, 1372 nt
Filed under: uncultured bacterium
Lineage: Bacteria
Description: 16S ribosomal RNA
Rfam family: Bacterial small subunit ribosomal RNA
Source: RNAcentral